GCAGCAACCGGGAAUAUUGGCCAUGGGGAAACUGAGCAGCGACGCCGCGUGAGAGGAGUCUAUGAUGUAAACUCUUUGCAGCGUCACAGCUGAGAAUAAGCCUCUACUACUACGUGCAGAGUCUCGGUAAUACGUAGAGCAAGCAUUAUCGAUCAUUGGGCGUAAAGUGUGCGUAGGCGGCGUAGUGUGUCGUAUCUUAAAGACCAAGGCUUAACCUCGGAUAUGGAUACGAAACUACUAUGCUAGAGGAUUGUUAGGGAUGCUAGAACAGUUAGUGUAGCAGUGAAAUGCGUUGAUAUUAACUGGAAUACCGAAGGCGAAGGCAGGCAUCUGGAAUUUUCCUGACGCUGAGGCACGAAAGCUAGGGGAGCGAAACAGAUUAGAUACCUGUGUAGUCCUAGCUGUAAACGAUGUCCGCUAGCUAUCACUCACAGAGUGAAUAAGAAUAACUUGUUCAUUGUGUGAGUGGUGGUGUAAGCUAACGCGUUAAGCGGACCGCCUGGGGAGUACGGUCGCAAGACUAAAACUCAAAGGAAUUGACGGGGACCCGCACAACCGGUGGAGCGUGUGGUUCAAUUCGAGACAAAACGAAGAACCUCACCAAGGUUUGACAUUUUACCGUUUAGCCCUGUAGAAACACGGGGUGAUCCUUUCAGGAUGGUAAAACAGGUGCUGCAUGGCUGUCGUCAGCUCGUGCCGUGAGGUGUUCCCUUAAGUGGGGAAACGAGCGCAACCCCCGCCAAAUGUUAAAUAAUCAUUUGGGACUAUCCUGCCUAUUCGGCAGGGGGGAAGGAGGGGAAGACGUCAAGUCAGCACGGCCCUUAUACCUUGGGCUACACACACACUACAAUGGCGAAGAACAACGUGUUGCCAACCAGCAAUGGUGCGCUAAUCACUGAAAUUUCGCCUCAGUUCAGAUUGGAGUCUGAAACUCGACUCCAUGAAGUCGGAAUCGGUAGUAAUCGCAGAUCAGCAAGCUGCGGUGAAUACGUUCUCGGGUCUUGUACACACCGCCCGUCAAGGCAGCAAAGUCGGGAGUGGCCGAACACUUUUUAAUGUAGGUGGAGGCC
RNAcentral lists this ribosomal RNA (1070 nucleotides) under uncultured bacterium. Its description in RNAcentral is "bacterial SSU rRNA". It matches the Rfam family "Bacterial small subunit ribosomal RNA", at positions 348 to 1463 of the family's 1533-position model. The record is from RNAcentral.